GCCUCACCACCACAACCACACACACAGCGACCGGCUCACCACGGUCCGUUUUUUAAUUCACCUCACCGCCGUAGCCGCGUGACGAUAUUUUUCAAUGUUUCAAAACAUCGCGAACAUAUUUUUCCAGAACAUUGUAUUUAUUGCUGUUGGGGACCAUUUGGUAAUUUGUAACUAUGCACCGGUGGAACGAACAAAAGUAUGUAUUCGUUACUGAUUUAUAAUCCAAGACCGUGAUUACAGGAAUUCCGCUUAUCAAUAGUCGGUUGUCUAUUUGUUUUCGUAGAUUUCGUGACGGAAUAUUAUUUUUUUACCGUGUGUGUUUGUCUGACUAAAACAAUAAAUUGGCGCUUUCAAACGUUCAUUUUUUAAUAAUACAAAUAACAUUUCAUCAAAUUCGUCACUGCGAAAUCAAAAAGUUAUGUUUCAUUCAAUUGUCUUUUGUGCAGUACUCGGCAAUAUUGCAGUAGACAUUAUUAUGUAUGUAUACCUUUAAAAAAUACGACACGCCGAUACCUAACCACCCAACUGUUCUAUGGAUGAGUGGAUUAACUAACAAAACGUACACCUCAAAACACAACUAUCGGCCCAUAGGAGACCGGAAUACAGGUGUUGAAUACAUUGCAAGACUGAGUGAUCGAGGCUACCCACGUCCAUUGAUCGAGUUCUCUUUUCUAAGUUCCAACUGCAUACAAUACAGAUAACUGUCUACUGAUAAGGCUAACUUUAAUAUCCGACCUUUCAAAUUUGUCUCGGUGGUUGCAUUUUGAUAUUAAUUAUUUUAACUUUAUUUUUGAUAAUAAUAUAUUAUAACACUACGUUUUAAAAAAGGUAUAGUGUGCGGUAAUAGAUCUAAUAACACCCAUGUCAAUCGAGAAGGAGUUAAUUAUCAUGGAAUUCCCAAGAAUGAAUACAUGAGAAAAAGAUGGCUUAACGUUUUAGGAAUUGAUCGGUGUCAUGAAUGGCAACGUAUAUGCAGUGAUCAUUUUUUAGAAGAAAACUUUAAGUCAGGAAAAAAGUAGUUAUGCUACUCAAAGUAAUGAUGUUGAAACUGGUAAUAAUGAAUUUUACCAAUGGAACAAAAUAUAAGGAAUACUGAAGAAUACUAAAGAACAGAUUAAAACCAGUCGCUGUUACAUCAUUAUUUUUGGAUAAUGCACCUAAUGCUUUGCUGCCAGUGUCAAUUAAUGAGGUACCUGUAUUGAGUACAUGUGAAGAUCAAUUCAUAAAUCCAAUUGAUAAUGAAGCUGCUGAACAGUCGUCAGAAGAAAAAAAAACAAUGUUAAAGAUAAUACAGAUAAUACUUCCAUGACAAUUGAUAAUUCAUCUAAUAGUAGUUCUUUGUCCAUUACUUUGGAACCAAUUGAGAAAAGAACCUUACAAUGUAUUAUAAUGGAUGUUUGAAAUACUGAAGAUUUUACAAGGGAUGAUGAACACGGGUUUAUUUUACAAGAAAAUAAAAUAAUGUACUGGGUGCUAUGUAAAAAAUUCCUGGUACAUUGUUUUAUAUUUCUUUAAAAUGCCUAUUACAACAACGAAAGAAUUAGACGAUCUUUUAAAAAAAAGUCAUAGUAUAGAAAAAUGUUGGGGUGAAUUUGUCUUUGAACAAUGUAUAGGGUAUUUUUAAAUUAGUUUAGAAGAUAAUAAUAAUAUGUGUUCUGGCUGUCAAGGUCUAGUAUAGUCAAAGAUCGAGAUUUGCUAAGAAUAAAAGCAAAAAUUGAAGCUAAAAACAAAAAUAUUAAAAGUCUUAAAAACAAAGUAAAUAUAAGACACUUAUUCUUUGAAAAACU
This is a long non-coding RNA of Acyrthosiphon pisum (pea aphid), 1787 nucleotides long. RefSeq lists it as uncharacterized. The record is from RefSeq and is a predicted model, not a curated record. NCBI's taxonomy places the organism in Eukaryota, Metazoa, Arthropoda, Insecta, Hemiptera, Aphididae. The transcript is spliced from 6 exons.